GAUGAAGAACGUAGCGAAAUGCGAUAAGUAGUGUGAAUUGCAGAAUUCCGUGAAUCAUCGAAUCUUUGAACGCACAUUGCGCCUCCUGGUACUCCGGGAGGCAUGCCUGUCCGAGCGUCAUUUCAACCCUCAAGCACGGCUUGGUGUUGGCGGAUUGCGUGCCCUAGCGGCGCUGCACCCGCCCAAAUACAGUGGCGGUCCCGCUGCGGCUCCCUUUGCGUAGUAACUCACCUCGCACUGGACCGGGCGGCGGCUCGCCGUAAAACCCCAACUCACGAAAUGUUGACCUCGGAUCAGGUAGGAAUACCCGCUGAACUUAAGCAUAUCAAUAAGCGGAGGA
This 340-nucleotide unclassified non-coding RNA is filed under the name soil metagenome. RNAcentral describes it as "partial contains 5.8S ribosomal RNA, internal transcribed spacer 2, and large subunit ribosomal RNA". The stretch from base 1 to 120 matches the Rfam family "5.8S ribosomal RNA", at positions 35 to 154 of the family's 154-position model. The record is from RNAcentral.